UCGGGAAUUUUGGACAAUGGGCGCAAGCCUGAUCCAGCCAUGCCGCGUGGAUGAUGAAGGCCUUAGGGUUGUAAAAUCCUUUCGCCGAGGACGAUAAUGACGGUACUCGGAGAAGAAGCUCCGGCUAACUUCGUGCCAGCAGCCGCGGUAAUACGAAGGGGGCUAGCGUUGUUCGGAUUUACUGGGCGUAAAGCGCGUGUAGGCGGGUCGUUAAGUUGGGGGUGAAAUCCCGAGGCUCAACCUCGGAACUGCCUUCAAAACUGGCGACCUGGACCUAAGUAGAGGCAAGUGGAAUUGCGAGUGUAGAGGUGAAAUUCGUAGAUAUUCGCAGGAACACCAGUGGCGAAGGCGACUUGCUGGACUUAUGGUGACGCUGAGACGCGAAAGCGUGGGGAGCAAACAGGAUUAGAUACCCACGUAGUCCCUGAGCGGGCUGGCAAGGCGCAU
RNAcentral lists this ribosomal RNA (447 nucleotides) under uncultured bacterium. Its description in RNAcentral is "bacterial SSU rRNA". It matches the Rfam family "Bacterial small subunit ribosomal RNA", at positions 355 to 825 of the family's 1533-position model. The record is from RNAcentral.